This 915-nucleotide ribosomal RNA is filed under the name uncultured bacterium. RNAcentral describes it as "bacterial SSU rRNA". It matches the Rfam family "Bacterial small subunit ribosomal RNA", at positions 1 to 905 of the family's 1533-position model. RNAcentral also lists the same sequence under 1 other name. The record is from RNAcentral.
UUGGAUCCAGACUUUGAUUAUGGCUCAGGAUGAACGCUAGCUACAGGCUUAACACAUGCAAGUCGAGGGGAAACGACAUCGAAAGCUUGCUUUUGAUGGGCGUCGACCGGCGCACGGGUGAGUAACGCGUAUCCAACCUGCCCACCACUUGGGGAUAACCUUGCGAAAGUAAGACUAAUACCCAAUGAUAUCUCUAGAAGACAUCUGAAAGAGAUUAAAGAUUUAUCGGUGAUGGAUGGGGAUGCGUCUGAUUAGCUUGUUGGCGGGGUAACGGCCCACCAAGGCAACGAUCAGUAGGGGUUCUGAGAGGAAGGUCCCCCACAUUGGAACUGAGACACGGUCCAAACUCCUACGGGAGGCAGCAGUGAGGAAUAUUGGUCAAUGGACGAGAGUCUGAACCAGCCAAGUAGCGUGCAGGAUGACGGCCCUAUGGGUUGUAAACUGCUUUUAUAAGGGAAUAAAGUGAGUCUCGUGAGACUUUUUGCAUGUACCCUAUGAAUAAGGACCGGCUAAUUCCGUGCCAGCAGCCGCGGUAAUACGGAAGGUCCGGGCGUUAUCCGGAUUUAUUGGGUUUAAAGGGAGCGUAGGCCGGAGAUUAAGCGUGUUGUGAAAUGUAGACGCUCAACGUCUGCACUGCAGCGCGAACUGGUUUCCUUGAGUACGCACAAAGUGGGCGGAAUUCGUGGUGUAGCGGUGAAAUGCUUAGAUAUCACGAAGAACUCCGAUUGCGAAGGCAGCUCACUGGAGCGCAACUGACGCUGAAGCUCGAAAGUGCGGGUAUCGAACAGGAUUAGAUACCUUGGUAGUCCGCACGGUAAACGAUGGAUGCCCGCUGUUGGUCUGAAUAGGUCAGCGGCCAAGCGAAAGCAUUAAGCAUCCCACCUGGGGAGUACGCCGGCAACGGUGCAACUCAAA